UUAAUGAAACUCCCGCCCAGUCACAGUCCGAGCGUUGAAGCCAGCUUUUCCGCUGGUGAGCCGUCGCAGGCAAUGAGGGUGGCUCGGCAUCAGAAUGCGGAGGGGUGGAACUCCCGUGG
Molecule: non-coding RNA, 119 nt
Organism: Clostridiales bacterium GWF2_38_85
Lineage: Bacteria; Bacillati; Bacillota; Clostridia; Eubacteriales
Source: Rfam